UGUGAAUCUGUGUGGGAGGGGUGGGAAACCGACUGCUGUCUGGUUGUUUUUAAUAUUGUAAAGCGCUUUGAGCUGCAUUUGCAUGAAAAUUGCUUCAUAAAUAAAUUUUGAUUUGAUUUUUGAUUUGAUUUGAUGUGGGUGUGUUUGGAGGACUUGGUCAGAAGCUGAGCACAGGCCUUCUGAACCACCUGUAGACGGUUCAGGGACGUUUUGCUCAGACACAUGAAAAGAGAGUUGCAGUGCUCCAUGCAUGGAGAUAACUUGUUGAAGCCACAAUUUCCAUCCCUGCCUUCUAUUUCAUUUAACUUCUGUUUUUUUAAAGCCUUCCAUCACAUCAGCAUUUACACUUUUACACAAAUUAGCAAAUUUUCAUUUCUAUAUUUUCUUUGUUUUACCAGAAAACCAUUCACAAAACAAAAGUAUCACUUAAAAAAAUUGCUUUAAAUAAAUUUUUCAUCCGGCUCAGGGUCACAGCUGUUCUCAGCAGAGAUGGGAAUUUUGGCUUCAUCAAGUCGUCUCCAUGUGGUGUUUUUGUUCUGCUCAGCAACUGAACCAGGUCAAAUGACUGUGCUGAUUGAAAUCACCUGGUUUUGUUGCUGAGCGGAACAAAAACACGACAUGGAGACGACUUGUUGAUGCCACAAUUUCCCAUCUCUGGGGAAAGAUUCAUAAGGCUCAAACAAUGAUGUUUAAGCCAGUUUAUUACAAAAAGCAUCCCAACCAAGAUGAAAAACUCUGUAGUUAGGAGGUGACUCACCUAAACAAUGAAAACCAAAAUAAACUAUGAGCAAAGCAACUCUAAAAAUACUCUUAAAGGUGACAAAUAAUGCAGUUUAUCAGCAUCUAAAACAGUUCUUUGAAUCUCUAAGAAGCAGAAGAAAUUUUCUUUUGGCUUUCAUCUGUCCCAGGAACGCGGAUACAGGCCGUUCUAAACCCUUAAAACAGCCUUGCAGUGAAAAGAGCUGUUUACCCCUUCCACAUGACCAGAACAUGAACAUGCUCAUGAGCUGCUUGCUGAUUGGUUGGUUUAAACCAGAAGGCCUCAGACAUUGGAGACUGCAGAUUGGAGAAGGAAGGACACCACACUGUGACAUUUUUAUGAGAAGUUUCUCAGAAAAUAAGUUUUUCUCUGGCAUUUUAAACUCGCCUCCCGUGUGUCAGGUAAUAAAAGCGACGGCGACAAAUUUCGCUGAUCACAGUUGUUUGUAGCCUCCCAUGUGUCAAGCCCAUAAUUCAGGCUUUGGACUGCAGCAACUGCCUUUUAUCUGGUUCUGGUAAUUAUUCGCAGUUAACUCUCAAAAUCUGCCCUCGAGCUUUCCAGGUAGCUUCUAGCCUCUCUGCUUUCACUCAUUUCCUGUUUUCCCCUCCUGCUUCUCCUCCUCUGUCUACAAACAAAAUCUCUCCUAAAUAGGCUGCAGCUGGUGAUGGGCAUCAGCUGUAGCUGAAGGGAGUUCACGGGGCGUCGCUCUCCAUGGUGCUGGAAGGAAGAGCCCAGGCAGGUACUGUGUAGCGGAGUUGUCCAUGGUCCUGAACUGGAGGCAGACUGGUGGUAAAACCAUCGACAUAAAUAUACUGGACAAUUCAUUUCCAUAGGCUCCAAUAAGUUUUUGUGCUAAAAUGGGAGGUGGCCACCACCGCCAUUUUGACCGCGUCACAGGUUCCAUCAAGCCCAGACAAUUCCAAAAAAGGGAAGAGAGGUGGAGCUGAGGGUGGGGCUGUAAGGCUGGGAUCAACUGACGACACCCGGUCGAACUAGCUACAAGCUAACCUGAAGCUAACCCAAAGCUAACGCGGAGGUGGGAGCCGAGCUAACGAAUGUAGCCACCUAGCUACAACCGGAGCUAACUCUGUGGAACACCCAUCGACCACAUGGAGUUCACGUGGAGGUUUGAGGCACUUCUUCAUGAGAAGUACCUUUCUGUGAAUAAAAAAUAUUAAAUCGGUAAGUUUAUAAGUUAUUUCCGUCAUGAAAAUAUAUUUUGCUUUGAGCAAGUUUUCACUAUUUAUCACGUACCGUAUUUUCAGGACUAUUAAGUCGCUCCUGAGUCGCACCAGCCAUUAAAUGUAUAAUGAAGAAGAAGAAAAAAACAUAUAUAAGUUGUAUUUGGGGGGGGAAUUUUAUUUUUCUUACAAAAUCUGAGACCAAGCGUUUCACAUUGCAAGACAAGUACCGGUAACAAUAACUGAAUAAUGCGCCGCAGCAGCGUGCCACGGUCUCCAGCAGAGGAAGGCAGUGUUUGAAACCCUCCCAGCGGGACAGGGGAACUCAUUCUUGGGUCGGAGUCGGCCCGCAGCAGCGCGGUGUAGCCUACAUGUUUUGUUAUGUAAGUCGCUCCGGAGUAGCAGGACCGACCAGACUAUGAAAAAAGUGUGAUUUAUAGUCCGGAAAAUACGGUAGUUAUUAGUAUUUGAGAUAAAUUAGCAGGCUAAAUACAUUUCAUAUAUUUCCAAAACGUAUUACUUGUUUGUAUCUUGUACAGGCAACUAGCCUUUAUUCUGGACUCAGUACAAUUCACCAAAAGUAAAGAGACAUUAUACAGAUGAAGAAAGCACAAGAUAACUUACUGGAGGAAACAGAAUUAUUAUCAUGAGAACCAGAACAAGAGAGCCUGAUAAAGUCAUGUGAAAAUAACAGUUAAAAAGUAUGUAUGUGUAAUAGAAAUAAAAAUAUAUUAGAAUUAGUGUAACUCACUGUGAUCCAAACAAUAAAUCAGCCAUAGCUGAUUAGCAAUCAUGAAAUGAGGUCUGGGAGUUUUUAAGUUUCAUUCUUUUACAUUUUACAUCUUUUUCUUAGAUCUGUUAAAAGGUCACCAUGGCAGCCUGUGUGUCUUCAACGUCAGCAGCGUCCAUUUGGAUCAUUGGUGACAGCUGAGUGAGGCGUGGUGCCCAGAGCUGCAGCUACUCUCGGAGACAACCUUGGCCUCCCUGACAUCUGUGUCUCCUGGUUCGGUUGGGGCGGACUGAGGUGGAAAGACCUUCUCCCCUUCUUUUUCAACUCCAUGCAUGGAAGAGCAGCUCCUGAUGUACUUCUCAUCCACUGUGGUGGCAAUGACAUGGGGGUGGUCAGCAGUGUGAAUCUGGUGAACAUGAAGGAGGACCUGCACCGGCUUCACCUUCUACAUCCUCAUAUCACACUGUUGAGAACUGUUCUUCCUUCACAACCCAAUGUCCACUCACUCUGCAGCUCUCUGGGCCCCUUUUAUUAUUUUAAGUAUUUUUUAAAUGUCCUGACACUUUGUGUCCUGUUAUUUUAUAAAUUGUGAUGUAAAAAAUAAACGUUUUGCUCAAUUCCUGGAGUUUUUUUGGUUAAGACAAAAAAGGAAGGAAGAAUCAUUUAUGCCAAGUUGUUUCUACAACAGGCCUGUUUUAAGUCCAACAGUUUCUUAGCAGCCAAUAGAAAUGUGUUCUUUACUAACUUUACUUGGUUUAAAAAUCUUACUAAAAUAAACAGAGUGCUGUAUUGCACAACCCAAUCAUACUUGUUAUGUAAAUAUUAGCUUUGUAGAUAUUUCUUACAGAUAGAUAUUUGUGUGCUAAAAAACUAAAUAUUUUGUCAUUCUUUAUUGAAAAACAAAAUACUGGUAUACAGAAAGUGUGGGAAAAUGAUAAUGUGAAAGUAUUGCUCUUUAAAUGUAAUACUAUUUAUCAUUAAAAAGAAAAACUCUAAAAAUGUCCUGUACAGCAACAUGACAGAAGAAAGGUGGUCUGUCUGUCAGAAUGUGCUGAACAGAUUUCCUCUAUCAAGAGGAGCCUUUUGUGUAAGAGUUUAUGUUAUUGUAUUAUUGGUUUGGGUUAUGUAUCGCCACAUUAGCAUGUAAAUGCUGAACCAAUCUGGAAUAAAGAGGUAUUCUGACCAUUAGAGGUGGUUCACCACACUGCUUCCUCAGUCUCACAUCCUGGGUCGUCUUUCUCUUCCACAGCUCUUCGAUUUUCUUACCAAUUCCUGGAGAGCCAAAUAGACCCACAUUUAAAAUAGAAAAAAAAAUCCUGUAAUAUUCACUAUAUACAUCCCCAAAGAUUACCUUUUCCCAUGUGCCAGGGGUCAAAGUAGUGACUGAUUUCUUUUUUUUUCCUCAUGCAAAUACUUCUGCACCCAUGUGUGGCGGUCAGUCACAACUUGCUGCACAUCGACCCCCCCUCUCCAAAAGUGUGCUCAGACUUCGCACAAAUCCCUCCUUCUCCAUUCGCACACUAUUUCCAGCUUCAUUGCUCUGAAAAUAAACAUAGUUCUCCAUCAGGUAAUCUUGUACCUGUACGAGUUGGAUAUCAAUAACUUUGUUUCUUUUGAGAUCCAUCAUGGUGUAGCUGCCAUAUUUGGCUGAGUGUCCUUCAGAAAUGCAAGUUAUUACUUAAUUUACAUUUGAUAGCAAAGUAAUAAAAUAAAUAAAUUUAAAAGUAUUCACCAGGUGAAUCAGCUCGCAUGUUACCACCAAGAGUCACAGGUCCAGAUUCAGUAGCCUCCUGGAUGAUAUCAGCUUGCUCUAGCUGCCACUGCCAGCUCACUGUUGGAAUUAACAGCUUUGCCUGAUGUCGAUAGAAUGUCUGCUUGGACAGUCCCUGCACAUUGAAGGCACCCAGGAACUAAAAUAUGAAAAGUUACAUCAUGAAAUGAGAGAUGCACAGACCUUAUCAAAACUAACCUAAACAUUUUUGACCUAUAACUUAGAAAUCUGGCUAAAUGAUGAGCCAGACUUUCUGGAAGAUGAAUUUCUGUCAUGGUCCCUGUGUCACAAGACACACAGCAGCUGGGAGCUCUAAACUGGCUGGCUAUAUAAAAAACAAAGAAACAGCACAUUUAUAAAUGUUUAAAAGAGCAUAAAAUCACAAGUAACAAUAAUCUGCUAAACAAAUUAAAACUAGAAGGUAAUAAUAAAAUGUUUACAUAGACGAUUAUUACAAAUAAUUCACCUUUGCUACGGGUAAGGCUUCACGUUAGCCUGGACAAGUGCAUUCUUGCAUACUACUAAAUCAGUCUGACAUCUUGGGUAGAUUUGGCCUGAAAAAAAAAUAGAAGCACAUUGUUGUUGUAGUCUAUAAAGUGAGAUAAUAUACAAAAGAAACUGUCAGAUAUAGGCACUUUAUAACAUUCCCAGUGUGUGAUCGUUGUUAUAACGUAAAAGUCAGUCACAUAUGAUGUGGAGAGAGACUGAAAUGCAACCUCCUGAACAGAAUUCCUUACAGAACCAGGUCACGCUGUGAUGUAAACCUGGAUUUCACGCUGUAAUGCUGUCUGUCAACUAGUGCUGCGUUAGUUAGAGUCACUGUUGCAGAAUUACCGACUGACACAAAAACAACCUGAAUUUUCUCAGAGCCUGACAGUAAUAGUCAUGUGGACCGUUUCGUCGGCCAGGGCUUCGAGAUAUGUUCCGAUUCGCCGCUGAUUCUAACCUUACAUCCCGUUCCACAUUUUUGACAAAUCAGCCCAAAGGCAGUGCAGACUGAUAUUAGCUAAAUUAAGUGAACCACGUCUGUCAAACUUUGAAUUUAGGUAGGGAAUUGAGCUGCAGUAUUUCUGCGGUCAGGUCUCUCUACGAGUCCGAGAGCUCAACGAGUGGUCAGCCCGCGCAGCAGCUAGUAGGCGCCACAUCGGUCAGACAUGCACCGGGCUGACCGCUGGGGAGAACCGGGUGGAAGAAUGGAACACAGAAGUGUCCCUCCAAGAGCUACGUCAUAUUUCAACCCAUUUUUAUGUUAAAUGCACUGGGUUUUACCCUUUUACCCAUCGACAUAUGCCCUAUUAAUUAUUUUACCGUAUUUUACAUCUAAAUUUCAUGGUUAAACAGUACAUGCUACAUGUUAAAAUGAUAGUUAGCUAGCUACUUCGAUAAACUCAGCUAGUUUGAAGGCGGCAGUGACCUAAAAUGCAUAAAUAUAAUUUAACUUACAGAAUAAAAUGAAGUGGAGACUCCUUGGACGCUCUAUUAGUGCAAUUAAUGCCACAGCAAGUCAUUUUGUCCAACAAUUGCACCAAUAAUAUCCAAACAAGAAUACACAAUCACAGAGACUCAAAAUCCCGAAACAGUUUCCAGGCCAGACUGAGGCUCUACUGAGGCCUUUCCACAGAGCUAGCUCUGUGGUCACGUGGGUCUGAUGCUCAUUAAUUAUACAGAAUUUUAGGCUUUUAAUACACUUAAACAGAAGAGUGAGAAAAA
Nothobranchius furzeri (turquoise killifish) is the source of this 6152-nucleotide non-coding RNA. NCBI's taxonomy places the organism in Eukaryota, Metazoa, Chordata, Actinopteri, Cyprinodontiformes, Nothobranchiidae. The record is from RefSeq and is a predicted model, not a curated record.